GACGAACGCUGGCGGCAGGCCUAACACAUGCAAGUCGAGCGGAGCGGCGGACGGGUGAGUAAUGCCUAGGAAUCUGCCUGGUAGUGGGGGAUAACGUCCGGAAACGGGCGCUAAUAUCGCAUACUAUCAGAUGAGCCUAGGGCGGAUUCGCUAGUUGGUGGGGUAAAGGCCUACAAAGGCGACGAUCCGUAACUGGUCUGAGCUGAUGAUCAGUCACACUGAAACUGAGACACGGUCCAGAUGCCUACGGGAGGCAGCAGGGGUGAAUAUUGGACAAUGGGCGAAAGCCUGAUCCAGCCAUUCCGGGUGUGUGAAGAAGGUCUUCGGAUUGUAAAGCAGUUUAAGUUGGGAGGCGUUACCAACAGAAUAAGCACCGGCUAAGUUCGUGCCAGCCGCCGCGGUAAUAC
Molecule: ribosomal RNA, 407 nt
Filed under: uncultured bacterium
Lineage: Bacteria
Description: partial 16S ribosomal RNA
Rfam family: Bacterial small subunit ribosomal RNA
Source: RNAcentral